This is an RNA transcript of Dreissena polymorpha, 976 nucleotides long. RefSeq lists it as uncharacterized. Lineage: Eukaryota; Metazoa; Mollusca; Bivalvia; Myida; Dreissenidae. The record is from RefSeq and is a predicted model, not a curated record. The transcript has 13 exons.
CAGAUGGCGGGAAACCCUUCUCAACUGGUACGAAGCCGGCAGAGAAAUGUCUGGGACUUAGCCGAGGGCAACUGGAGAAGGGUUGUUGAUGGCAAAACAGGCAGAGAAAUGUCUGGGACUUAGCCGAGGGCAACUGGAGAAGGGUUGUUGAUGGCAAAACAGGCAGAGAAAUGUCUGGGACUUAGCCGAGGGCAACUGGAGAAGGGUUGUUGAUGGCAAAACAGGUUGGAGACUACAUGGGACUUUGACAGAUGGCGGGAAACCCUUCUCAACUGGUACGAAGCCGGUAAAUAGAUGGCCAUAAAACAGUGACCGCUGAUUCGCGUCGAGUUCUUUCUUGCAUAACGCAGAGAAAUGUCUGGGACUUAGCCGAGGGCAACUGGAGAAGGGUUGUUGAUGGCAAAACAGGUUGGAGACUACAUGAGACUUUGACAGAUGGCGGGAAACCCUUCUCAACUGGUACGAAGCCGGUAAAUAGAUGGCCAUAAAACAGUGACCGCUGAUUCGCGUCGAGUUCUUUCUUGCAUAACGCAGAGAAAUGUCUGGGACUUAGCCGAGGGCAACUGGAGAAGGGUUGUUGAUGGCAAAACAGGUUGGAGACUACAUGAGACUUUGACAGAUGGCGGGAAACCCUUCUCAACUGGUACGAAGCCGGUAAAUAGAUGGCCAUAAAACAGUGACCGCUGAUUCGCGUCGAGUUCUUUCUUGCAUAACGCAGAGAAAUGUCUGGGACUUAGCCGAGGGCAACUGGAGAAGGGUUGUUGAUGGCAAAACAGGUUGGAGACUACAUGAGACUUUGACAGAUGGCGGGAAACCCUUCUCAACUGGCAGAGAAAUGUCUGGGACUUAGCCGAGGGCAACUGGAGAAGGGUUGUUGAUGGCAAAACAGGUAACGGCUCGCAGAUGGUUUCGCUGGGAAGCAUUCGCCUCUUCCCAUGUCCAUUAUGUCCUAAGCUGUUCCCCAGUCGGUUCAACC